CAGCCUCGGGUGCCUGCCUCCUCUUCCUCAUUAGUCUCACUACUGGACACCACAAAAACUCCCAGGGCACCCAGAGAGCCAAUGAAGGGACACUGCUCACGGGGUUAGGGUCAUCUGGGUCAACUGCCCUCCCACUUGUGCUGAGAUUCACACUGCCCUUGGGCCCCGGUCAUCAUGUACAGCGGCCACGACACAUAAUGAAGAAAAAAAAAAAAAAGCCAGAUUUUUCCAUAUAGGGAAAAACCUGGAAGGUCUAAGGUGGUUUUUUUGUUUGUUUGUUUUUUGUUUUUUUUCCAGGCAGAGUUAGACAAUGAGAGAGACAGAGAGAAAGGUCUUCCUUUGCUGUUGGUUCACCCCCAAAGUGGCCGCUACGGCCGGUGCACUGCUUCCUCCUGGUCUCCCAUGCGGGUACAGGGCCCAAGCACUUGGGCCAGCCUCCACUGCCCUCCUGGGCCACAGCAGAGAGCUGGAAAGGAAGAGGGGCAACCGGGACUAGAACCUGGGGUGCCGGCGCCGCAGGCGGAGGACCAGCCAAGUGAGCCGCGGCACCGGCCAGGUGUCUUUUGCCAAGGCCUGAAUUUCAAAACACAAGGGCCUGGAGGGAAAAGGAAAGCCAGCACUUGUAACUUCUGAGUGCCUGCUAAGGGACCAGGAAGUGGGCCUCCUGUUAUCCAGGAUGAGCUACCGUGCGCCUCGUGGGUGCCACACCUUCUGUAUUCGCGCCAUGCUUUUAAUUUCCAAGCCCUUUUUAUAGAUGCAGAAACUGAGGCGUUGGAGGCACGCCAGAGCCCUGCUCUCCCCAGCCACCUCCUUUACUGAGAGAUUUAUGAGCUGUGGCCAGCUGAGCUGCUGACAGUGUCAGGCCGAACAUACUUAAGUCUUCAGGAGGGAAAAAUCAAUGCGCAUUACGGGGGCAGGGCAGGGCUAGCAGAGCAGCCAAGGGUGAAAGAGGCAGGUGCCGGGACUGCUCUGGGUUCGGCUCAUCCACUUAGAAGCCCAGCAGCACGCCCAACCCCACGUGCCUGCUGUUAAUGGUGCCUGUAAGUCUCAGAGAUGCAAUGGCUGCCCCCAGCUCCCUCGGGAGGCGUUGAGAGAGGCCACCAGGCCUGCUGCGCUCACCAUCAGGCGGCCCAGCCCCCUCUCCCUGCCUGGAGGGGCGGAGGCCCAGCCUGGCUGCUGUCUAGCAGCCAAGAAAGAACAAAAGGUUCAUUCUCUGACUCAGCUCCUCUGCUAAGCGGGUGGGGCGGUGUUGACUUACUUUUUUUUUUCCCCCUAUCAGAACAUAAGAGCUCCCCCGGGGCCUAGUGCAGACAGCACACUUGGACAGGCACAGGGAGCUGCUCAGUAGUAGACCGGCCACCUGAACCCCGUGGCCCGGACAACCAGGACAAAGACCCAGCCGAGCCAGGGGAAAGCGCCAUCGCAUUAGCCCAGCCUGAUGGCCUCUGGCAGGGUUCAAGGCUUGCAGGGAGGACCCUGAGAGCUGCAGGGCCGGCCGUGCAGGACUGGGCUGGUCAGAGAGCACAGGUGCCUCUGGCGUCCUCUCCCGGGCUAAGGGAAACACCUGGACCUCCUCGGGUAACACAGGGAGUGCUGUGUCACCCCACUGCUGGGGAAAGUUGGCCCAGGAAGCUAUGGAUUCUGCAGCCUCCAUCUACAACGUCUGAUUCCACCCCUACAACACCUCUCUCUGUCACAGGUGUCGCCUGUGAUCUCCGUCUUCAAGAUGGGAAGACGGAUCCACGGGGUGAACUCAUCUGUUCAAGCCAGCUGCAGAGCUGGGAUUCGAGCCACGUAUGACCGCGGGUCAGGACCGUUUUUGGAGGAACUAGCAGAGCCUGGAGGGUUAUCAUCUGUCACCCCCUGCCCCCGCACUGUUUUACAGACUGAGGCCGGGGGAAGCUACUGGGCCUUGGUGGAGGUGCUGCUCAUGGUGAGACAAACCCCGCUAGCUGCGGCGCUUGGACCGCUGCUCACUGCAAGUGGAGUCAAAAGUGCGUCUGUGUUUUGAGGCUUGGGUGAGAGCAUGUCACGGGCCUUCCUUACUGAAAAAGCACAAAACAAACGCUGGCUGCUAUCACGGUGACUGCCUAUGGCUGCCUCCCGCUUCCACGCAAUACCUGUCUGUGCUCAGCUUGCCUGGGCGGAUGUGGGGAGGGGCUGCAUCGCUAUUGAACAGACAGAAUGCUGGGGCUGAGAGGCCCCCUCAGCCUACAGCUCUUUCCAGAACACCCUGGUCUCCGCCUUUGGGCAGAGAUGGCAGCUGAGAGCUUGUCUCCAGCCCACAUGUGGUUUCCUGUUGUACAGUCUGUUCUCCGAGCAGUUUUAUUGAGGAAAAGAGUGGACACGUGGUGGGUGACGGCGAGUCACGUGACGUGCUGCCCUGCCCUGAGUUUACAGGAAAAGUAAAGGGAGGAUCCUUGACAGCCUGGGGGAGAAAUCUUCAGAAAAAAGAGCCUGGCUUCCCCACUGGGCACCAGAACUGGGCUCGGGAUUAGGAAGGCCUGGAAACCGUCACCAGAUUGGAGGAGAGCCAACUGCUGUCCAGUGAAUCAGGAAGCAGGGCUAAAGUGAACCAGCGUGCUUUGGGUCUGACAGUGGACAGGGAGGCCAGGGCUGUGAGGACAUGUUCCUCUCCGAAAGGAACACGCAGGCGUCCCUGCACCUGCCAUCCCACUGUGGGCCACAACCUGUUCCUGAAUCACAGAAAAGAGGUUGGCACUGUGGCACGGCAGGUUACGCCACCACCCGCAAGGCCACCAUCCCACAUGGGCGUCUGUUAGGGUCCUGGCUGCUCCACUUCCAAUCCAGUUCCCUGCUAACGUGCGUGGGAAAGCAGCAGAGGAUGGCCCAAAUGCCUGGGUCCCUGCCACUCAGAUGAAGCUCCUGGCUCCUGACUUCAGCCUGGCCCAGCCCUGGCCGUUGCAGCCAUUUGGGGAAUGAACCAGCGGAUGGAAGACCUCUUUCCCUCUCCAUCUCUCCCUCUCUGUUACUCCACCUUUGAAAGAAAUAAAUCAAUCUUUAAAAAAAGGAAUCAAGAGAUGGAAGGGGGUUUGGAGGGCAUCAAUGCACUACCCCCAUUUCCCAGAAAAAUAAAGACCAGCUGUUUACUGCCACUCACCCUGUGCCCUCACUGAGCUAAGCAGGUACGUGCCUUAGCCCCCACAGCAAUGCUGCUGCUAGGAUACGGGCACAACCUUCGCAGACUCAUGCAGACAGCCAGUUAGUACCAGGGCUAGGACUUCCUCUACCAACUGCUAGGUAUGUAACCUCAGGCGGAUACUCCUCCCCUCUCGCCUCAGUCUCCUCAUCUGUAGACUAGGGAUAAUAACAGCAUUUCCCUUAUAAGGGUGAUUGUGAGAAGCACAUUAAUGCAGGCAAAGUGCUUGAAGCACAUAUAUGGUCAAUGUUUGCUAUUGCUGCUGUUAUUAUCACCUAGGUACCCUUUCGCCUAUAAAAUGAAGAGCUCAUGGGCCUGCAUCGGGGCACAGCAGUGCUGCCUGCCUGUGACACCGGCGGCCCAUAUGGACACCAGUUCCAGGCCUGGCUGUUCCACUUUCUGAUCCAGCUCCCGGCUAAUGCGCUGGGAAAGCAGCGGAAGACAGUCCAAGUGCUUGAGCCCCUGUAUCCAUGAGGGAAACCUGCAAGAAGCUCCUGGCUCCUGGCUUUGUCCUGGCAGAGCCCUGGCCAUUGCAACCAUUUGGGGAGUGAACCAGUGGAUGGAAGCUAUCUCUAUCUGUCUAUCUGUCUCUCUCUCUUCCUCUCUCUGUAUGACUUUGACUUUCAAAUAAAUUUUUUUAAUGAAGAGGUAAGCUACAGCAUUUCUGAAGAACCCUAGGUUAUAUAAUAAAUCUACUGGGGCUGUGGCUCAGGCAUGGCUCUCAACCCUGGAAAAUGCAGGUCACCGUCUCACUGUCACCUCCCUAACAGGAAGACGUAGCCCAUAGAGAAGAUGUAUCACAGACACUCAGCUGGAAGUCAAAUCCCCUGAU
Oryctolagus cuniculus (rabbit) is the source of this 3992-nucleotide long non-coding RNA. RefSeq lists it as uncharacterized. The record is from RefSeq and is a predicted model, not a curated record. NCBI's taxonomy places the organism in Eukaryota, Metazoa, Chordata, Mammalia, Lagomorpha, Leporidae.